CCUACGGGUGGCAGCAGUGGGGAAUAUUGGGCAAUGGAGGCAACUCUGACCCAGCAACGCCGCGUGAAUGAUGAAGGUCUUCGGAUUGUAAAGUUCUGUGAUGGGGGAUGAACACAAUGACGGUACCCCACUAGCAAGCCACGGCUAACUACGAGCCAGCAGCCGCGGUAAUACGUAGGUGGCAAGCGUUAUCCGGAAUUACUGGGCGUACAGGGGGCGUAGGGGGUUUAGUCAGGUGGCGGUGUAAUUCCGGGGCUCAACCUCGGCGCUACCGCCAAAACGAGGAGCCUAGAGUGGAGGGGGGGUAAGUGGAAUUCCUAGUGUAGCGGUGGAAUGCGUAGAUAUUACGAGGAACACCAGGGGCGAAGGCGACUUACUGGACUGUAACUGACGCUGAGGCACGAAAGCGUGGGGAGCAAACAGGAUUAGAUACCCUUGUAGUC
RNAcentral lists this ribosomal RNA (443 nucleotides) under uncultured bacterium. RNAcentral describes it as "partial 16S ribosomal RNA". It matches the Rfam family "Bacterial small subunit ribosomal RNA", at positions 338 to 795 of the family's 1533-position model. The record is from RNAcentral.